AGAGGAAGCCGGUGCGAGUCCGGCGCGGUCCCGCCACUGUCACCGGGGAGCACGCUCGGAAGUGCCACGGCGGGCCGUCAGAAGCCGCUGGAAGGCCCGGGGGUGCGUCCGACCCGGAAGCCAGGAGACUC
This 131-nucleotide non-coding RNA is filed under the name Kitasatospora aureofaciens. Lineage: Bacteria; Bacillati; Actinomycetota; Actinomycetes; Kitasatosporales; Streptomycetaceae. The record is from RNAcentral.